UGCUGGAGCGAAUAGAAGUGAGCAUGCAGGCAUGAGUAGCGAUAAUUAAUGUGAGAAUCAUUAACGCCGUAAACCCAAGGUUUCCUACGCGAUGCUCGUCAUCGUAGGGUUAGUCGGGUCCUAAGUCGAGUCCGAAAGGGGUAGACGAUGGCAAAUUGGUUAAUAUUCCAAUACCAACAUUAGUGUGCGAUGGAAGGACGCUUAGGGCUAAGGGGGCUAGCGGAUGGAAGUGCUAGUCUAAGGUCGUAGGAGGUUAUACAGGCAAAUCCGUAUAACAAUACUCCGAGAACUGAAAGGCUUUUUGAAGUCUUCGGAUGGAUAGAAGAACCCCUGAUGCCGUCGAGCCAAGAAAAGUUUCUAAGUUUAGCUAAUGUUGCCCGUACCGUAAACCGACACAGGUGGGUGGGAUGAGUAUUCUAAGGCGCGUGGAAGAACUCUCUUUAAGGAACUCUGCAAAAUAGCACCGUAUCUUCGGUAUAAGGUGUGGUUCGCUUCGUAUUAGGAUUUACUCCGAAAGCGAAGAAACUUACAACAAAGAGUCCCUCCCGACUGUUUACCAAAAACACAGCACUCUGCUAACUCGUAAGAGGAUGUAUAGGGUGUGACGCCUGCCCGGUGCUCGAAGGUUAAUUGAUGGGGUUAGCAUUAGCGAAGCUCUUGAUCGAAGCCCGAGUAAACGGCGGCCGUAACUAUAACGGUCCUAAGGUAGCGAAAUUCCUUGUCGGUUAAAUACCGACCUGCAUGAAUGGCGUAACGAGAUGGGAGCUGUCUCAAAGAGGGAUCCAGUGAAAUUGUAGUGGAGGUGAAAAUUCCUCCUACCCGCGGCAAGACGGAAAGACCCCGUGGACCUUUACUAUAACUUGACACUGCUAUUUGGAUAAGAAUGUGCAGGAUAGGUGGGAGGCUUUGAUUAUAUGACGUCAGUUGUAUAGGAGCCAUUGUUGAGAUACCACUCUUUCUUAUUUGGGUAGCUAACUAGCCUAAGUUAUCCUUAGGUAGGACAAUGUCUGGUGGGUAGUUUGACUGGGGCGGUCGCCUCCCAAAUAAUAACGGAGGCUUACAAAGGUUGGCUCAGAACGGUUGGAAAUCGUUCGUAGAGUAUAAAGGUAUAAGCCAGCUUAACUGCAAGACAUACAAGUCAAGCAGAGACGAAAGUCGGUCUUAGUGAUCCGGUGGUUCUGUGUGGAAGGGCCAUCGCUCAAAGGAUAAAAGGUACCCCGGGGAUAACAGGCUGAUCUCCCCCAAGAGCUCACAUCGACGGGGAGGUUUGGCACCUCGAUGUCGGCUCAUCGCAUCCUGGGGCUGGAGCAGGUCCCAAGGGUAUGGCUGUUCGCCAUUUAAAGCGGUACGCGAGCUGGGUUCAGAACGUCGUGAGACAGUUCGGUCCCUAUCUGCCGUGGGCGUAAGAAGAUUGAAGAGAUUUGACCCUAGUACGAGAGGACCGGGUUGAACAAACCACUGGUGUAGCUGUUGUUCUGCCAAGAGCAUCGCAGCGUAGCUAAGUUUGGAAAGGAUAAACGCUGAAAGCAUCUAAGCGUGAAGCCAACUCUAAGAUGAAUCUUCUCUAAGCUCUCUAGAAGACUACUAGUUUGAUAGGCUGGGUGUGUAAUGGAUGAAAGUCCUUUAGCUGACCAGUACUAAUAGAGCGUUUGGCUUAUCUUUAAUAAAGCAU
RNAcentral lists this ribosomal RNA (1672 nucleotides) under Campylobacter coli. RNAcentral describes it as "partial 23S ribosomal RNA". It matches the Rfam family "Bacterial large subunit ribosomal RNA", at positions 1271 to 2925 of the family's 2925-position model. Lineage: Bacteria; Pseudomonadati; Campylobacterota; Epsilonproteobacteria; Campylobacterales; Campylobacteraceae. The record is from RNAcentral.